GACGAACGCUGGCGGCGUGCUUAACACAUGCAAGUCGAGCGGUAAGGCCCUUUCGGGGGUACACGAGCGGCGAACGGGUGAGUAACACGUGGGUGACCUGCCUCUAGCUCUGGGAUAAGCCUGGGAAGCUGGGUCUAAUACCGGAUAUGACCUCGCGGUGCAUGUUGCGGGGUGGAAAGCCUUGUGCGGCUAGGGAUGGGCCCGCGGCCUAUCAGCUUGUUGGUGGGGUGANGGCCUACCAAGGCGACGACGGGUAGCCGGCCUGAGAGGGCGACCGGCCACACUGGGACUGAGACACGGCCCAGACUCCUACGGGAGGCAGCAGUGGGGAAUCUUGCGCAAUGGGCGAAAGCCUGACGCAGCGACGCCGCGUGAGGGAU
This 380-nucleotide ribosomal RNA is filed under the name uncultured bacterium. RNAcentral describes it as "bacterial SSU rRNA". It matches the Rfam family "Bacterial small subunit ribosomal RNA", at positions 28 to 409 of the family's 1533-position model. The record is from RNAcentral.